This 253-nucleotide ribosomal RNA is filed under the name uncultured bacterium. Its description in RNAcentral is "partial 16S ribosomal RNA". It matches the Rfam family "Bacterial small subunit ribosomal RNA", at positions 524 to 776 of the family's 1533-position model. The record is from RNAcentral.
UACGGGGGGUGCAAACGUUGCUCGGAAUUAUUGGGCGUAAAGCGCACGUAGGCGGCUCGUUGUGUCCGGUGUGAAAUCCCUCGGCUUAACCGAGGAAGUGCAUUGGAAACUGGCGAGCUUGAGUACGGAAGAGGGUCGCGGAAUUCCCGGUGUAGAGGUGAAAUUCGUAGAUAUCGGGAGGAACACCAGUGGCGAAGGCGGCGACCUGGGCCGAUAUUGACGCUGAGGUGCGAAAGCGUGGGGAGCAAACAGG